Molecule: unclassified non-coding RNA, 312 nt
Filed under: uncultured fungus
Lineage: Eukaryota; Fungi
Description: partial contains small subunit ribosomal RNA, internal transcribed spacer 1, and 5.8S ribosomal RNA
Rfam family: Eukaryotic small subunit ribosomal RNA (bases 1-73)
Source: RNAcentral
CCAAACUUGGUCAUUUAGAGGAAGUAAAAGUCGUAACAAGGUCUCCGUAGGUGAACCUGCGGAGGGAUCAUCAAAGGAUUUUAUUAUUUCCAAGGUGCUUUCUUUUCUUCUUUCUUGAGAGGGGAGGAAAGUGCUUUGCAAACAAACGAUCACAACUAUUGAAAAAAAUUGGGAAUGGCUUGGGUUUCCUUGACUUGGAAAGAAACAGAAAAAGUGUUUGCCUGAUAUCUGAGUUGACUUGGAAAAACAAGAGAAAAUUAUACAACUUUCAACAACGGAUCUCUUGGCUCUCACAUCGAUGAAGAACGCAGC